AGAGUUUGAUUAUGGCUCAGGACGAACGCUGGCGGCACGCUUAACACAUGCAAGUCGAACGAGAGAAGAGAAGCUUGCUUUUCUGAUCUAGUGGCGGACGGGUGAGUAACACGUGAGCAAUCUGCCUUUCAGAGGGGGAUACCGAUUGGAAACGAUCGUUAAUACCGCAUAAUAUAAUUGAACCGCAUGAUUUGAUUAUCAAAGAUUUAUCGCUGAAAGAUGAGCUCGCGUCUGAUUAGCUAGUUGGUAAGGUAACGGCUUACCAAGGCGACGAUCAGUAGCCGGACUGAGAGGUUGAUCGGCCACAUUGGGACUGAGACACGGCCCAG
RNAcentral lists this ribosomal RNA (329 nucleotides) under uncultured bacterium. RNAcentral's name for it is "bacterial SSU rRNA". It matches the Rfam family "Bacterial small subunit ribosomal RNA", at positions 8 to 334 of the family's 1533-position model. The record is from RNAcentral.